RNAcentral lists this transfer RNA (72 nucleotides) under Albula goreensis. Its description in RNAcentral is "tRNA-Tyr". It matches the Rfam family "tRNA". From Rfam's summary of the family: Transfer RNA (tRNA) molecules are approximately 80 nucleotides in length. Their secondary structure includes four short double-helical elements and three loops (D, anti-codon, and T loops). The record is from RNAcentral. Lineage: Eukaryota; Metazoa; Chordata; Actinopteri; Albuliformes; Albulidae.
CCUUCGAUAGCUCAGUUGGUAGAGCGGAGGACUGUAGAUCCUUAGGUCGCUGGUUCAAAUCCGGCUGAAGGA